GACGAACGCUGGCGGCGUGCUUAACACAUGCAAGUCGAACGGAAAGGCCCUGCUUUUGUGGGGUGCUCGAGUGGCGAACGGGUGAGUAACACGUGAGUAACCUGCCCUUGACUUUGGGAUAACUUCAGGAAACUGGGGCUAAUACCGGAUAGGAGCUCCUGCUGCAUGGUGGGGGUUGGAAAGUUUCGGCGGUUGGGGAUGGACUCGCGGCUUAUCAGCUUGUUGGUGGGGUAGUGGCUUACCAAGGCUUUGACGGGUAGCCGGCCUGAGAGGGUGACCGGCCACAUUGGGACUGAGAUACGGCCCAGACUCCUACGGGGGGGAGCAGUGGGGAAUAUUGCACAAUGGGCGGAAGCCUUAUGCAGCAACGCCGCGUGCGGGAUGACGGCCUUCGGGUUGUAAACCGCUUUCGCCUGUGACGAAGCGUGAGUGACGGUAAUGGGUAAAGAAGCACCGGCUAACUACGUG
Molecule: ribosomal RNA, 468 nt
Filed under: uncultured bacterium
Lineage: Bacteria
Description: partial 16S ribosomal RNA
Rfam family: Bacterial small subunit ribosomal RNA
Source: RNAcentral